CCUACGGGGGGCAGCAGUCGAGAAACUUCUGCAAUACGCGCAAGCGUGACAGAGCAAGCCAGAGUGCUUUUCCGUAUUGGAAAAGCUUUUGUGAUAUGUAAAAAGUAUCACGAAUAAGGACUGGGCAAGACUGGUGCCAGCCGCCGCGGUAAUCCCAGCAGUCCAAGUCGCAAUCACUUUUAUUGGGUCUAAAACAUCCGUAGCUUGUUUUGUAAGUCUCUUGUGAAAUCUGGUCUCUUAAGGGCCAAAGUGCGAGAGAUACUGCAGAGCUAGAGACCGGGAGAGGUAAAGAGUACAAAUGGUGUACCGGUAAAAUGGGUUGAUCCUAUUUGGACUAUCAACAGCGAAGGCACUUUACCAGAACGGAUCUGACAGUGAGGGAUGAAGGCUAGGGGCGCAAAACGGAUUAGAUACCCCGGUAGUC
RNAcentral lists this ribosomal RNA (424 nucleotides) under uncultured bacterium. RNAcentral describes it as "bacterial SSU rRNA". It matches the Rfam family "Archaeal small subunit ribosomal RNA", at positions 322 to 746 of the family's 1478-position model. The record is from RNAcentral.